AACAACGUGAUGAUAGGAACUAGUAACUUACAGCAUGCUUAAGAGAGUCGAUGGCUGGUGAAAAUCGAUGCAGCGCUGUGAGUGAAUCCAUCCUGGAAUGGUAUGGAAACAUACCCGGUACAAACCGUUACCUUGCCGAGCCGGAAGACUUCUUUGUCUUCAACCAGGGUGGUAUCGCGGGUGAAACAUCUCGUCCCUUUU
This 201-nucleotide non-coding RNA is filed under the name Terribacillus aidingensis. RNAcentral describes it as "T-box sequence". It matches the Rfam family "T-box leader". Rfam says of the family: Uncharged tRNA acts as the effector for transcription antitermination of genes in the T-box leader family. T-boxes are found upstream of many aminoacyl-tRNA synthetase genes and some amino acid biosynthetic genes usually in Gram-positive bacteria. The record is from RNAcentral. Lineage: Bacteria; Bacillati; Bacillota; Bacilli; Caryophanales; Bacillaceae.